UACGUAGGGGGCAAGCGUUGUCCGGAAUCAUUGGGCGUAAAGCGCGCGUAGGCGGCCCUGUAAGUCCGUUGUGAAAGUCAAAGGCUCAACCUUUGAAUGCCGAUGGAUACUGUCGAGCUAGAGUCCGGAAGAGGCGGGUGGAAUUCCUGGUGUAGCGGUGGAAUGCGCAGAUAUCAGGAGGAACACCAACGGCGAAGGCAGCCCGCUGGGACGGUACUGACGCUAAGGCGCGAAAGCGUGGGGAGCGAACAGG
Molecule: ribosomal RNA, 253 nt
Filed under: uncultured bacterium
Lineage: Bacteria
Description: partial 16S ribosomal RNA
Rfam family: Bacterial small subunit ribosomal RNA
Source: RNAcentral